This 371-nucleotide ribosomal RNA is filed under the name uncultured organism. Its description in RNAcentral is "partial 16S ribosomal RNA". It matches the Rfam family "Bacterial small subunit ribosomal RNA", at positions 527 to 897 of the family's 1533-position model. The record is from RNAcentral.
GGAGGGGGCAAGCGUUGUUCGGAAUUACUGGGCGUAAAGGGCGCGUAGGCGGAAGAUCAAGUCAGGGGUGAAAGGCCUGGGCUCAACCCGGGAACUGCCUUUGAAACUGGUUUUCUAGAGUGCGGGAGAGGAUGGCGGAAUUCCCAGUGUAGAGGUGAAAUUCGUAGAUAUUGGGAAGAACACCGGUGGCGAAGGCGGCCAUCUGGCCCGGCACUGACGCUAAGGCGCGAAAGCGUGGGGAGCAAACAGGAUUAGAUACCCUGGUAGUCCACGCCGUAAACGAUGUGUGCUAGCCGUUGGGGGCUUCAGGCCCUCGGUGGCGCAGCUAACGCGUUAAGCACACCGCCUGGGGAGUACGGCCGCAAGGUUAA